CACGCAGGAGAUCCAGACGGCGUGAAGCGUGGUUUUCUUUUUCUUCCCUGAAUCGUGCACGGACACGAUGCUUCCUCGCGCACGGGCACGAUGCUUCCUCGGGAAAACACGUCCAACGCGUCCAUCUCAAGAACGCCAUUUCCCCCUUUUUGAAGUUCUCCCCAGAACUUUAUCAGCAGGCGGCGGUGUGUUGCUUGCCAACGCAGAUUGUGAUCUGUGUGAUGUGUGUUUCUUCUUUCAACAUGUGAAGGAAGCCUUAUUGCUUUUUCCUUGCUGCUGUUUGGCUUUUAAUAUCACCGCCUCAAAUGCAGUCAGAAAGGCCUCAAGAACAAUUAAUAUCCAGUCUGCCUUCUUCUAUGUUAAUUUUUGCAACUCUAUUUUUUAAUGUCACAUUUCUUUUUUAUAUUUAGUAUUUAUGUUUAACUGUGCCAACAUGAAUUGUAAUUGAAUAAAGGUUGUGUAUCUCAUGCUUAGUGGAUCAUUCAAACAUGUCCAAAUAUUUACAAGAGAAUUGAUUUUAUUAAUAUCUCUCAAUCAGCCCUAAUGUGCACGGACACUUUCCCUCAGUCAGUUGGUAAAUCCUCAUUCCUGUUUCCUGUUUUAUAAAUAACAGACAGAAAAUUAGAAAAUGAGCAAAGCAGGAAAAUUCUCCAGAAUUUGGUCCCAAGUGGCCCAAAAUGUUCCUGCUUUAAUAUACUUUUCCUUUUAAAUAAUAAUGCUUUUCAAACGCCUCACAGCCUGUAGGACAGUGACUAUUCAUAACCUUUCGUUCCCUCCAUUUAGCACAUGGUUAAACCUGACUGGGAUUUAGCGUGUGCACGUGCCGCUUGCAAAGGACACGAAGCCGUUGAAUGGGAGCAAACGAUGGAGGUUUUCCCCAAAUCUUUAUUUUUCCUAAACACAUCAGGGAAUAUCUAACGCUGUACAUGUGUGCAGGGACAUUGUCUCUGCUGCAGCCAUUGAGAUGGAUGCAUUUUCCCUUGUAGUCAGCGCGUGGUAAUAAAACAAAGUGUCCCGGAUCUCCUCCCCCCUCUGCAUUUAGUGCAGGCACCAUUAUGUAAACGGGUGAGUACAAUAUCACAAAAAAUGUCCCACAUACUUUAUCGCCCGUUGGUCUCCAGCGGCUCCGUCGUAUCGCCGCGGCUCCGGCGGCUGGAAGCAGGUGAGAAGCUGCGGCUGCAAAUGGAGCUCUAAUGUGUCGAGUGAGUUACUGAGUCGGGCCCGAACAGACCACUUAGUUUGUGUGAAAAUCCAUCGAGAGUGACGGUGAGUAACAGGAGACGCUUCCACGCCGUUUAUUCAUGUUGCCUCUUCAGCAUGCAGCUGGUGGACCAUUUGAGGAAAUAUUGUAAAUAUCCUACACCAUCUGUCCGUGUGCAGCCUUGUGAAUUAGUAUUUUUUUUUAUUGUCUGCUGAAUCAUUGUGGGCUGUUUUGCAUCAUUCCUGAAAAUCUGAAUUAAAUAGACCGGAAAGAGCCACAGGAGAUUUUCUGGUAUAAGAAGGGAAAGCUGGUGAAUUAGUGUCAAGAUGCUAAGCUAACGGCUAAAAUGGUACAUGCUAUUUACUCAAAUCAUGCCUAGUCGUAUGUUAUCGAUAAUAAGAAAGAGAUAAAAGUGUCGCUUCGACUCUCGUUCUAUCAAACCUGGAUCAGAUAUUCCGCUCACAUCCUGAAACACUCCGGAGCCGUUCAAUAAAAUGUGUCGCCAGCUCGGAUGAUCGCUCGGCCCUCGGUCCUCCGUGCUGUUUGUCAUUAAAGACGGCAGCUUGAUAUUCAAUCAAAGCGCAGAAAUGUCAGCUUCACCUCAAAAUGAAACUGUCAAAUGUUGUUUGUUGAUACAAAAUGAUAAAGCUGCCAGAGGAAAAACGUCUAACAACUCUCUCUCUCUCAUUUCCUAACUUGACUUGGUCAUUCAGGAGCGGUUUGAACCCCCUCAGUGAGUUACUCCAAAGAAAUAAAGGAAACAAAUCAGCCUUAGAUUCGCCUUUUUAAUCGUGACCUUCCCUUUUUGUGUUUUGGUCUCCUUUGAGAACGCCGUCCCCCUGAGAUGUUUCCUCCUCCUAAAAGCAGCCCCCUUUGUCUCCUUUCAGUCUAAUCCUCAAAGUGAGUUCUUAUGAAAGCCAAAGCAAUCACAUUCUCUCUCUUUCUCUGUACUAUUAAUACAUAUCUCAAGGACCGAAUCAUUAAACGCCGCGAGGCUGCGCAGUUUAAAUACCCCCCCCGCACCCCCCUCCCCCGGUAGCUCUGCGUGGGCGCCGUUGAUUGAGCGCCUUUGAGCCGCUACACCGGAAGUUCAGCCCCCCCCCCCGAAGAAACAGAAGAAAAAGCAACGUUCUGCUCGCUACGCAAAGUCCGCCCGGCCUCCUUCGCACACUACGAAUGCGCUUUUUUCCCUCAGACGAAAAGCGCGUCACCACGAGGCUCUUUACAAACUCCACCGGGCGGAUUGACUUGAGCUGAAGACCACGUCCCCCCCCCCCCCGGCCCGUCGGACAGACUUUGCCAUCUCGCAUCAAGUCAACGAAAUCCGGUUUGUUGGAGGCAGUAAAAUAAUUAUUACUCAUUACUUUCCACGUCUGAGGCGCAGCGGAAAACGCGUCUGCACAGGUUGAGUUACAACCAGAACCGGCGGGCGGCGGAGUGCAGCAGGUUCUGUAGGAAGAUAAGACAAUAUCAGCAGACGAAACAACACACACACACACACACACACAGCAUGAAAUUCUAAUGAAAGGGAAGAGGACGGUUUCAGAUGUGUGUCGAAUACAAUAAGGUCACAUUAUGCUCGUAGCUGCUUGAGUCAUCGUGCAGGAAUAGGUGCAUCAAGCCAAUCCAAUCAGCGGCAACAAGAAAAUGACACGGCGCAGCGAAGCGUGAGGAAGAAUUCCAUCUGUGGUUUUGCGUGGAAUGGAGUACAGACGCGGUUUAACGGACGUUUGUGUGGCGAAAGACUAAAGAAAGAGAAGAAGGCGUUUGUUGGUUUUGACGGCGAAUGCACAAAUGCUGCUCGUUUGGCCUGAGGGACACUUGUUUGUUUAGCAGGUGCCUCUCGAGGGUUUCCCAGAGAGCG
Gasterosteus aculeatus aculeatus (three-spined stickleback) is the source of this 3065-nucleotide long non-coding RNA. NCBI's taxonomy places the organism in Eukaryota, Metazoa, Chordata, Actinopteri, Perciformes, Gasterosteidae. The record is from Ensembl.